Molecule: ribosomal RNA, 494 nt
Filed under: uncultured bacterium
Lineage: Bacteria
Description: partial 16S ribosomal RNA
Rfam family: Bacterial small subunit ribosomal RNA
Source: RNAcentral
GACGAACGCUGGCGGCGCGCUUAACACAUGCAAGUCGAACGGAAAGGCCUGCUUUCCCUUGUGGAUUGCGGGUACUCGAGUGGCGAACGGGUGAGUAACACGUGAGUGAUCUGCCCCCAACUUGGGUAUAAGCCUGGGAAACUGGGUCUAAUUCCCGAUAGGACUGCAGGGUGGUGCCUGUGGUGGAAAACGAUUUUCUAGUGGUUGGGGAUGAGCUCGCGGCCUAUCAGCUUGUUGGUGGGGUAAUGGCCUACCAAGGCGGCGACGGGUAGCCGGCCUGAGAGGGUGGACGGCCACAUUGGGACUGAGAUACGGCACAGACUCCUACGGGAGGCAGCAGUGGGGAAUAUUACACAAUGGGCGGAAGCAUGAUGCAGCGACGCCGCGUGGGGGAUGACGGCCUUCGGGUUGUAAACUCCUUUCGACCGCGAGGAAGCCACCUGGUUGGAAGGGUGGUGACGGUAGUGGUAGAAGAAGCACCGGCUAACUACGUG